CCUACGGGAGACAGCAGUGAGGAAUAUUCGUCAAUGGGCGGGAGCCUGAACCAGCCAAGUCGCGUGAGGGAAGACGGUCCUAUGUAUUGUAAACCUCUUUAGGCGGGGAGCAAUGCCGGGCACGCGUGCCCGGAGGGAGAGUACCCGCAGAAUAAGCAUCGGCUAACGCCGUGCCAGCAGCCCCGGUAAUACGGAGGAUGCGAGCGUUAUCCGGAUGUAUUGGGUUUAAAGGGUGAGUAGGCGGAUUUUUAAGUCGGCGGUAAAAUGUCCGGGCUCAACCCGGGCCGGCCGUUGAAACUGGGGAUCUUGAGUGGGCGAGAAGUAUGCGGAAUGCGUGGUGUAGCGGUGAAAUGCAUAGAUAUCACGCAGAACUCCGAUUGCGAAGGCAGCAUACCGGCGCCCGACUGACGCUGAGGCACGAAAGCGUGGGGAUCGAACAGGAUUAGAUACCCUUGUAGUC
Molecule: ribosomal RNA, 460 nt
Filed under: uncultured bacterium
Lineage: Bacteria
Description: partial 16S ribosomal RNA
Rfam family: Bacterial small subunit ribosomal RNA
Source: RNAcentral